Molecule: small RNA, 2730 nt
Filed under: Pan troglodytes (chimpanzee)
Lineage: Eukaryota; Metazoa; Chordata; Mammalia; Primates; Hominidae
Description: retained intron
Source: RNAcentral
CAGCCUCCCUAGUAGCUGGGAUUACAGGCAUGUGCCACCAUGCCUGGCUAAUUUUGUGUUUUUAGUGGAGAAGGGGUUUCUCCAUGUUGGUCAGGCUGGUCUCAAACUCCCGAACUCAGGUGAUCCACCCACCUCGGCCUCCCAAAGUGCUGGUAUUACAGGCGUGAGCCACUGCGCCCGGCCAAUACAUCUUUGUUUUUUCAAGCUAAAGUACAGACUUUUUUUUGGAUUUCACCAGUUUUGUAACAAUGUAUCUUGGAGAUUUUACGGUGUCAGUUCAGAACAAGCUUCUUCUUUUUUUUUUUUUUUUGGGAGACAGAGUCUUGUUCCAUCACUCAGGCUGGAGUGCAGUGGCUUGAUCUCAGCUCACUGCAACCUCUACCACCUGGGUUCAUCUCAUGUCUCAGCCUCCUGAGUAGCUGGGAUUACAUGUGCCUGCUACCACGCUUGGCUAAUCUUUGUAUUUUUAGUAGAGAGAGGGUUUCACCAUGUUGACCAGGCUGGUUUCUAACUUCUGAUCUCAGGUGAUCCGCCCGCCUUGACCUCCCAAAGUUGGGAUUAUAGGCGUGAACCACCACACCCGGCCCCCUCAUUCUUUUAUACACCUGCUUGGUAUUUCAUUGUAUGGACAUGCCAUAAUCUAUUUGACCAUUACCCUGAUGAUGGACAUCUAAGUUGUUCCCAGUAUUUUUGCUGUUAUGAAUAAUACUGUAAUGUAUGAUGGCAUUUCAUAUAGCAUAGGGAGCUACUUUAAACCAUUUUGAUCAUUACUCCUUCUGGCAUUUAUCUUCCAGAUGUUAAAUAUUUUACUAAAUACUAUGCUUUUACUGCUGUUUCUUCUUUUCCUUAACGUUUUUUAUUUAGAAAAAUUUCAUGCUUACAGAAAAGUUGAAGUAAUAUUUUGAUCCCUUUGGAAAGAAAUAUUUUGUUUUAUCUACUUUUCUCUCUUUCUGUUUUUUUGUAAUAAAUUUUGUUUCCCAGGGGUUGGUGCCAUCUACAUCCGUCGCCGGCCCCGUGUGCGUGUGGAGGCCCUGCAGAGUGGAGGGGGGCAGGAGCGGGGUAUGCGGUCUGGGACAGUGCCCACACCCUUAGUGGUGGGGCUGGGGGCUGCGUGUGAGGUGGCACAGCAAGAGAUGGAGGUAUGGGGAGAGCAGUUCCCUCCCACAACUUCUUCCCCUGUGCUGGGUCUCCUAUUUAGAGGCUUCUCAGCAUGACUGAGGCAGAUCUCUGCAGGGAGAGAGGGCUUAAGAAAACUCUUCCUUGUCCUGGUGCUGCUGGCACCUUGUUCUGAGGGAGACAUUAUGGGCUCCAAAACCCAUGGCCUUUUAGUAGUUAUCAGCUCAUUUAUUUCUGGAUAAGUAAAUGAACCCUGUGUCCAGUUAUCAAGCGCCUUUUGCAUACCAGGCACUAUGCUCAGUACUGGAGAUACAGUGGUCCCCAUGAGUACAUAGGAUGAUAGGUGGGGCUGAUACAUAGUCACUUCCAGUUAUAGGAGAAGGGCUUCUCAAACUGUCUUUCUGAGCUGGUUAAUGGUUACUGCCUAAUCCUUCCUUGCCUGCUCCUUAGUAUGACCACAAGCGAAUCUCAAAGUUGUCAGAGCGGCUGAUACAGAAUAUAAUGAAGAGCCUUCCAGAUGUGGUGAUGAAUGGGGACCCUAAGCACCAUUAUCCCGGUAUGGACUUGCUCUUUCUAUCCUCAUUCUGGUAGAGGCUGAGACUCUGAGACCUCUCUCACAGUAUUUCUUUCCUCCAGGCUGUAUCAACCUCUCCUUUGCAUAUGUGGAAGGGGAAAGUCUGCUGAUGGCACUGAAGGACGUUGCCUUAUCCUCAGGGAGUGCCUGCACCUCUGCAUCCCUGGAGCCCUCUUAUGUGCUUAGAGCAAUUGGCACUGAUGAGGAUUUAGCGCACUCUUCUAUCAGGUUUGGAAUUGGCCGCUUCACUACAGAGGAGGAAGUGGACUACACAGUGGAGAAAUGCAUUCAGCAUGUGAAGCGUCUUCGAGAAAUGAGCCCUCUCUGGGAGAUGGUUCAGGAUGGCAUUGACCUCAAGAGCAUCAAGUGGACCCAACACUAGAAGAAUAGGGCCCUGACUUUGUGCUGGUCUGGCCCCUCCUGCCUCACCAACCCGUGCACAACCAGACACCUUGUUACACCUAGUGGAUGCUCUAGAUUGGUAUAGACCAGUUGACUUCAGCAUCAGUCCACCUCUAUGACAGAAACACAAGAAAACUGUCUUUCCCUAGCUUCAGUUCCUUGGGUGUGGAGCACUCCCCAUUUCUUCUCGGGUCUUAAAGUGUGUGGACAUCUUCAUCCCGAAGCCAUAGAGACAUUUGCUGUCAUAUUGCUGCUGGGCACAUCUGUGCUCUUGGUGAGGAGAGCAAGAGGAACCAGAAGAAGUCUCUUUGGUCAGGGACCAUGAUGCUCUACAUGGACAUUUGAGUCUUCGUCUUCUGCUGCUGCUCGGCUGGACCAGCUUCUUUAACAGCAAGCAUAAUCCACUUCAAUUUAAUAUUUUCUGUAGCUCCAAAGGCUAUCUCUUCAUAUUGACUGCAGACAGACUGAAUGGACAGUUUCUUAGAGGGCUUGUCUCCUUUCUACCCUUGUCCUCUUUCCUUUCCUUUGACCUAAUGGAGCUAGAAAUAUGUCUGUGACUCCACCAGUUAUUCUAAUAAUUUGUUUUCUUGAAAAUUGUUAAUUUCAAGACUGGAGAAAUAAACUCACCUUCUAUUUAC